GUCUUCGUGGCUCAGUUGGUUAGAGCGUUGGUCUCAUACUCGGUAUGAUUCUCUGGAUGACUAGAGAAAAAUCCAAUCCAAAGGUCGUGAGUUCGAGUCUCACCGAGGACA
Molecule: transfer RNA, 111 nt
Filed under: Diaporthe ampelina
Lineage: Eukaryota; Fungi; Ascomycota; Sordariomycetes; Diaporthales; Diaporthaceae
Rfam family: tRNA
About the family: Transfer RNA (tRNA) molecules are approximately 80 nucleotides in length. Their secondary structure includes four short double-helical elements and three loops (D, anti-codon, and T loops).
Source: Rfam by way of RNAcentral